Molecule: ribosomal RNA, 370 nt
Filed under: uncultured bacterium
Lineage: Bacteria
Description: bacterial SSU rRNA
Rfam family: Bacterial small subunit ribosomal RNA
Source: RNAcentral
ACUCCUACGGGAGGCAGCAGUGGGAAUAUUGCACAAUGGGCGCAAGCCUGAUGCAGCCAUGCCGCGUGUGUGAAGAAGGCCUUCGGGUUGUAAAGCACUUUCAGUUGUGAGGAAAGGUUAGUCGCUAAUAAUCGGCUGAGCUGUUGACGUUAGCAACAGAAGAAGCACCGGCUAACUCCGUGCCAGCAGCCGCGGUAAUACGGAGGGUGCGAGCGUUAAUCGGAAUUACUGGGCGUAAAGCGCGUGUAGGUGGCUUGUUAAGCCAGAUGUGAAAGCCCCGGGCUCAACCUGGAACUGCAUUUGGAACUGGCAGGCUAGAGUUUUGUAGAGGGUGUAGAAUUUCAGGUGUAGCGGUGAAAUGCAGUAGAGA